GGGUUGUGAGGUUAAGCGACUAAGCGUACACGGUGGAUGCCCUGGCAGUCAGAGGCGAUGAAGGACGUGCUAAUCUGCGAAAAGCGUCGGUAAGGUGAUAUGAACCGUUAUAACCGGCGAUGUCCGAAUGGGGAAACCCAGUGUGAUUCGUCACACUAUCGUUAACUGAAUACAUAGGUUAACGAGGCGAACCGGGGGAACUGAAACAUCUAAGUACCCCGAGGAAAAGAAAUCAACCGAGAUUCCCCCAGUAGCGGCGAGCGAACGGGGAGCAGCCCAGAGUCUGAAUCAGCUUGUGUGUUAGUGGAACGGUCUGGAAAGUCCGACGGUACAGGGUGAUAGUCCCGUACACCAAAAUGCACAGGCUGUGAACUCGAAGAGUAGGGCGGGACACGUGGUAUCCUGUCUGAAUAUGGGGGGACCAUCCUCCAAGGCUAAAUACUCCUGACUGACCGAUAGUGAACCAGUACCGUGAGGGAAAGGCGAAAAGAACCCCGGCGAGGGGAGUGAAAAAGAACCUGAAACCGUGUACGUACAAGCAGUGGGAGCACCUUUAUGGUGUGACUGCGUACCUUUUGUAUAAUGGGUCAGCGACUUAUAUUCUGUAGCAAGGUUAACCGUAUAGGGGAGCCGCAGGGAAACCGAGUCUUAACUGGGCGUUAAGUUGCAGGGUAUAGACCCGAAACCCGGUGAUCUAGCCAUGGGCAGGUUGAAGGUUGGGUAACACUAACUGGAGGACCGAACCGACUAAUGUUGAAAAAUUAGCGGAUGACUUGUGGCUGGGGGUGAAAGGCCAAUCAAACCGGGAGAUAGCUGGUUCUCCCCGAAAGCUAUUUAGGUAGCGCCUCGUGAACUCAUCUUCGGGGGUAGAGCACUGUUUCGGCUAGGGGGUCAUCCCGACUUACCAACCCGAUGCAAACUACGAAUACCGAAGAAUGUUAUCACGGGAGACACACGGCGGGUGCUAACGUCCGUCGUGAAGAGGGAAACAACCCAGACCGCCAGCUAAGGUCCCAAAGUCAUGGUUAAGUGGGAAACGAUGUGGGAAGGCACAGACAGCCAGGAUGUUGGCUUAGAAGCAGCCAUCAUUUAAAGAAAGCGUAAUAGCUCACUGGUCGAGUCGGCCUGCGCGGAAGAUGUAACGGGGCUAAACCAUGCACCGAAGCUGCGGCAGCGACACUAUGUGUUGUUGGGUAGGGGAGCGUUCUGUAAGCCUGCGAAGGUGGCCUGUGAGGGCUGCUGGAGGUAUCAGAAGUGCGAAUGCUGACAUAAGUAACGAUAAAGCGGGUGAAAAGCCCGCUCGCCGGAAGACCAAGGGUUCCUGUCCAACGUUAAUCGGGGCAGGGUGAGUCGACCCCUAAGGCGAGGCCGAAAGGCGUAGUCGAUGGGAAACAGGUUAAUAUUCCUGUACUUGGUGUUACUGCGAAGGGGGGACGGAGAAGGCUAUGUUAGCCGGGCGACGGUUGUCCCGGUUUAAGCAUGUAGGCUGGUUAUCCAGGCAAAUCCGGAUAAUCAAGGCUGAGGUGUGAUGACGAAGCACUACGGUGCUGAAGUAACAAAUGCCCUGCUUCCAGGAAAAGCCUCUAAGCAUCAGGUAACAUCAAAUCGUACCCCAAACCGACACAGGUGGUCAGGUAGAGAAUACCAAGGCGCUUGAGAGAACUCGGGUGAAGGAACUAGGCAAAAUGGUGCCGUAACUUCGGGAGAAGGCACGCUGGUGUGUAGGUGAAGCCCCUGCGGGUGGAGCUGAGACCAGUCGAAGAUACCAGCUGGCUGCAACUGUUUAUUAAAAACACAGCACUGUGCAAACACGAAAGUGGACGUAUACGGUGUGACGCCUGCCCGGUGCCGGAAGGUUAAUUGAUGGGGUUAUCCGUAAGGAGAAGCUCUUGAUCGAAGCCCCGGUAAACGGCGGCCGUAACUAUAACGGUCCUAAGGUAGCGAAAUUCCUUGUCGGGUAAGUUCCGACCUGCACGAAUGGCGUAAUGAUGGCCAGGCUGUCUCCACCCGAGACUCAGUGAAAUUGAACUCGCUGUGAAGAUGCAGUGUACCCGCGGCAAGACGGAAAGACCCCGUGAACCUUUACUAUAGCUUGACACUGAACAUUGAGCCUUGAUGUGUAGGAUAGGUGGGAGGCUUUGAAGCGUGGACGCCAGUCUGCGUGGAGCCAACCUUGAAAUACCACCCUUUAAUGUUUGAUGUUCUAACGUUGGCCCCUAAUCGGGGUUGCGGACAGUGUCUGGUGGGUAGUUUGACUGGGGCGGUCUCCUCCCAAAGCGUAACGGAGGAGCACGAAGGUUAGCUAAUCCUGGUCGGACAUCAGGAGGUUAGUGCAAUGGCAUAAGCUAGCUUGACUGCGAGCGUGACGGCGCGAGCAGGUGCGAAAGCAGGUCAUAGUGAUCCGGUGGUUCUGAAUGGAAGGGCCAUCGCUCAACGGAUAAAAGGUACUCCGGGGAUAACAGGCUGAUACCGCCCAAGAGUUCAUAUCGACGGCGGUGUUUGGCACCUCGAUGUCGGCUCAUCACAUCCUGGGGCUGAAGUAGGUCCCAAGGGUAUGGCUGUUCGCCAUUUAAAGUGGUACGCGAGCUGGGUUUAGAACGUCGUGAGACAGUUCGGUCCCUAUCUGCCGUGGGCGCUGGAGAAUUGAGGGGGGCUGCUCCUAGUACGAGAGGACCGGAGUGGACGCAUCACUGGUGUUCGGGUUGUCAUGCCAAUGGCACUGCCCGGUAGCUAAAUGCGGAAGAGAUAAGUGCUGAAAGCAUCUAAGCACGAAACUUGCCCCGAGAUGAGUUCUCCCUGAGACUUUAAGUCUCCUGAAGGAACGUUGAAGACGACGACGUUGAUAGGCCGGGUGUGUAAGCGCAGCGAUGCGUUGAGCUAACCGGUACUAAUGAACCGUGAGGCUUAACCUUACAACGCCGAAG
This 2924-nucleotide ribosomal RNA is filed under the name Klebsiella quasipneumoniae. Its description in RNAcentral is "23S ribosomal RNA". It matches the Rfam family "Bacterial large subunit ribosomal RNA". Lineage: Bacteria; Pseudomonadati; Pseudomonadota; Gammaproteobacteria; Enterobacterales; Enterobacteriaceae. The record is from RNAcentral.